AGAUUGAACGCUAGCGGGAUGCUUUACACAUGCAAGUCGAACGGCGGCGCGGACUUCGGUCUGGCGGCGAGGUGGCGAACGGGUGAGUAAUAUAUCGGAACGUGCCCAGUAGCGGGGGAUAACUACGCGAAAGCGUGGCUAAUACCGCAUACGCCCGUACGGGGGAAAGGGGGGGAUCGCAAGACCUCUCACUAUUGGAGCGGCCGAUAUCAGAUUAGCUAGUUGGUGAGGUAAAGGC
RNAcentral lists this ribosomal RNA (238 nucleotides) under uncultured soil bacterium. Its description in RNAcentral is "partial 16S ribosomal RNA". It matches the Rfam family "Bacterial small subunit ribosomal RNA", at positions 26 to 264 of the family's 1533-position model. The record is from RNAcentral.